UACGUAGGGACCGAGCGUUGUCCGGAUUUAUUGGGCGUAAAGAGCUCGUAGGCGGCUGUCCACGUCGGGUGUGAAAGCUCGGGGCUCAACCCUGAGAGGUCAUUCGAUACGGGACGGCUUGAGGCAGCUAGGGGAGAUUGGAAUUCCUGGUGUAGCGGUGAAAUGCGCAGAUAUCAGGAGGAACACCGGUGGCGAAGGCGGAUCUCUGGGGCUGUUCUGACGCUGAGGAGCGAAAGCUAGGGGAGCAAACGGG
Molecule: ribosomal RNA, 253 nt
Filed under: uncultured bacterium
Lineage: Bacteria
Description: partial 16S ribosomal RNA
Rfam family: Bacterial small subunit ribosomal RNA
Source: RNAcentral